ACAAUGCCCUCUACCUUUAAUUUCAGCGGUGAGUGCUAUUGAUACAAGCGGGAUCUCUUUUUUUAUGGAAUUAAAAAAGACAACAGAGAAAGAAGGUUUAAAGCUUGCCUUCAUAAAUCCUGUGGGAGAAGUCAUGGAGAAAUUACAGAGAGCAAAUGGCCUUCACAGUCUUUUUGGACCAGAAUAUUUCUAUUUGACAACAGGGGAAGCAAUACUUUGGCUUUCAUCUCUGUCGAAGGAAUCAAGACAAGGAUCCAAAGGAACAAGCGGUAUUUCUAACCUAUAAUUGCAAAUGACCUCUAGAUCUCUAUAUGGGCAAUUAAUCAGCAACUUCUUGCACUCUUUUUGCUCCCUAACUGAAGUAUUUGAAUUGUACUGGAGGUACACUGUGUUCUUCCUCCUCUUCAGUUGAAUUUAAUCUUUUCAAGCACUACUUGUUUUGUGAUAAUCAAAGCUGAGUUAGAGAUAUCAAUGUUUUUCAAUAAAGAAGUCUUAUCCAUUUUAAUAGGAAAAAUUUUUCUGUAGUUACUGCUGAUUUAUCAUUA
This is a long non-coding RNA of Dendrobium catenatum, 545 nucleotides long. RefSeq lists it as uncharacterized. The record is from RefSeq and is a predicted model, not a curated record. NCBI's taxonomy places the organism in Eukaryota, Viridiplantae, Streptophyta, Magnoliopsida, Asparagales, Orchidaceae. The transcript is spliced from 2 exons.